CAACGAUGUCAGCGAUGGUAUUGUGAAUGAUAAGAAGUCAGCCGAGGCCAUAGUAGUCACUUCGUGACGAAGGGC
This 75-nucleotide non-coding RNA is filed under the name Salipaludibacillus aurantiacus. Lineage: Bacteria; Bacillati; Bacillota; Bacilli; Caryophanales; Bacillaceae. The record is from RNAcentral.